RNAcentral lists this ribosomal RNA (433 nucleotides) under uncultured bacterium. RNAcentral's name for it is "partial 16S ribosomal RNA". It matches the Rfam family "Bacterial small subunit ribosomal RNA", at positions 29 to 507 of the family's 1533-position model. The record is from RNAcentral.
AACGAACGCUGGCGGCAUGCCUAACACAUGCAAGUCGAACGAGACCUUCGGGUCUAGUGGCGCACGGGUGCGUAACGCGUGGGAACCUGCCCUUAGGUUCGGAAUAACUCCCCGAAAGGGGUGCUAAUACCGGAUAAUGUCUUCGGACCAAAGAUUUAUCGCCUUUGGAUGGGCCCGCGUUGGAUUAGCUAGUUGGUAGGGUAAAAGCCUACCAAGGCGACGAUCCAUAGCUGGUCUGAGAGGAUGAUCAGCCACACUGGGACUGAGACACGGCCCAGACUCCUACGGGAGGCAGCAGUGGGGAAUAUUGGACAAUGGGCGAAAGCCUGAUCCAGCAAUGCCGCGUGAGUGAUGAGGGCCUUAGGGUUGUAAAGCUCUUUUACCCGGGAUGAUAAUGACAGUACCGGGAGAAUAAGCUCCGGCUAACUCCGUG